RNAcentral lists this ribosomal RNA (401 nucleotides) under Paralecithodendrium chilostomum. RNAcentral describes it as "eukaryotic LSU rRNA". The stretch from base 2 to 145 matches the Rfam family "5.8S ribosomal RNA". Lineage: Eukaryota; Metazoa; Platyhelminthes; Trematoda; Plagiorchiida; Lecithodendriidae. The record is from RNAcentral.
UCGGUGGAUCACUCGGCUCGUGUGUCGAUGAAGAGCGCAGCAAACUGUGUGAAUUAAUGUGAUCUGCAUACUGCCUUGAACAUCGACAUCUUGAACGCAUCUUGCGGCCAUGGGUUCACCUAUGGCCACGCCUGUCCGAGGGUCGGCUUAUAAACUAUCACGACGCCCCUAAAGUCGUGGCUUGGGUCUUGCCAACUGGCGUGAUUUCCUCAGCCUCCCGUAAGGGGGUGUUGGGGUGCCAGGUCUAUGGCUUCUCCCUAAUGUGUCCGGACAUCCAUGUGCAACAUGUGAUGGCGGAGUCGUGGCUAAAUAGUGUUUGCGCGCGCUCCGAUCACUGACAUGGUCCCUGUCUGUCACUGGGUGUGUGUUGCGUUGACGCGCUUCACAGCCUAUUUACCUGA